This 429-nucleotide ribosomal RNA is filed under the name Verrucomicrobiota bacterium. RNAcentral's name for it is "Verrucomicrobia bacterium partial 16S ribosomal RNA". It matches the Rfam family "Bacterial small subunit ribosomal RNA", at positions 355 to 776 of the family's 1533-position model. Lineage: Bacteria; Pseudomonadati; Verrucomicrobiota. The record is from RNAcentral.
UAGGGAAUCUUCGGCAAUGGGGGGAACCCUGACCGAGCAACGCCGCGUGAGUGAAGAAGGUUUUCGGAUCGUAAAGCUCUGUUGUUAAGGAAGAACGAGUGUGAGAAUGGAAAGUUCAUGCUGUGACGGUACUUAACCAGAAAGGGACGGCUAACUACGUGCCAGCAGCCGCGGUAAUACGUAGGUCCCGAGCGUUGUCCGGAUUUAUUGGGCGUAAAGCGAGCGCAGGCGGUUAGAAAAGUCUGAAGUGAAAGGCAGUGGCUCAACCAUUGUAGGCUUUGGAAACUGUUUAACUUGAGGGCAGAAGGGGAGGGUGGAAUUCCAUGGGUAGCGGUGAAAGGCGUAGAUAUAUGGAGGAACACCGGUGGCGAAAGCGGCUCUCUGGUCUGUAACUGACGCUGAGGCUCGAAAGCGUGGGGAGCGAACAGG